Molecule: ribosomal RNA, 496 nt
Filed under: uncultured bacterium
Lineage: Bacteria
Description: partial 16S ribosomal RNA
Rfam family: Bacterial small subunit ribosomal RNA
Source: RNAcentral
AUGAACGCUGGCGGCGUGCCUAAUACAUGCACGUCGAGCGAACGGACGAGAAGCUUGCUUCUCUGAUGUUAGCGGCGGACGGGUGAGUAACACGUGGAUAACCUACCUAUAAGACUGGGAUAACUUCGGGAAACCGGAGCUAAUACCGGAUGAUAUUUUGAACCGCAUGGUUCAAAAGUGAAAGACGGUCUUGCUGUCACUUAUAGAUGGAUCCGCGCUGCAUUAGCUAGUUGGUAAGGUAACGGCUUACCAAGGCAACGAUGCAUAGCCGACCUGAGAGGGUGAUCGGCCACACUGGAACUGAGACACGGUCCAGACUCCUACGGGAGGCAGCAGUAGGGAAUCUUCCGCAAUGGGCGAAAGCCUGACGGAGCAACGCCGCGUGAGUGAUGAAGGUCUUCGGAUCGUAAAACUCUGUUAUUAGGGAAGAACAUAUGUGUAAGUAACUGUGCACAUCUUGACGGUACCUAAUCAGAAAUCCACGGCUAACUACGUG